UACGUAGGGUGCGAGCGUUGUCCGGAAUUAUUGGGCGUAAAGGGUGCGCAGGCGGUUCGUUGUGUCGGCGGUGAAAGCCCCGGGCUCAACCUGGGAAUGGCCGUUGAAACUGGCGAACUGGAGUGUGGCAGAGGGGGUGGAAUUCCGCGUGUAGCAGUGAAAUGCGUAGAGAUGCGGAGGAACACCGAUGGCGAAGGCAGCCCCUGGGCUGACACUGACGCUCAGGCACGAAAGCGUGGGGAGCAAACAGG
This 251-nucleotide ribosomal RNA is filed under the name uncultured bacterium. RNAcentral describes it as "partial 16S ribosomal RNA". It matches the Rfam family "Bacterial small subunit ribosomal RNA", at positions 524 to 776 of the family's 1533-position model. The record is from RNAcentral.